RNAcentral lists this ribosomal RNA (699 nucleotides) under uncultured bacterium. Its description in RNAcentral is "bacterial SSU rRNA". It matches the Rfam family "Bacterial small subunit ribosomal RNA", at positions 39 to 728 of the family's 1533-position model. The record is from RNAcentral.
GCGGCUGCUUUACACAUGCAAGUCGAACGGCAGCAUGACCUAGCUUGCUAGGUUGAUGGCGAGUGGCGAACGGGUGAGUAAUGCACCGGAACGUACCCAGUAAUGGGGGAUAACGCACCGAAAGGUGUGCUAAUACCGCAUACGCCCUGAGGGGGAAAGCGGGGGAUCGUAAGACCUCGCGUUAUUGGAGCGGCCGAUGCCGGAUUAGCUAGUUGGUGGGGUAAAGGCCUACCAAGGCGACGAUCCGUAGCUGGUCUGAGAGGACGACCAGCCACACUGGGACUGAGACACGGCCCAGACUCCUACGGGAGGCAGCAGUGGGGAAUUUUGGACAAUGGGCGCAAGCCUGAUCCAGCCAUGCCGCGUGAGUGAAGAAGGCCUUCGGGUUGUAAAGCUCUUUCGCAAGGAAAGAAAACUUAGCUACUAAUACUAGCUGAGGAUGACGGUACCUUGAUAAGAAGCACCGGCUAACUACGUGCCAGCAGCCGCGGUAAUACGUAGGGUGCGAGCNUUAAUCGGAAUUACUGGGCGUAAAGCGUGCGCAGGCGGUUCGAUAAGUCUGAUGUGAAAUCCCCGGGCUCAACCUGGGAACUGCGUUGGAAACUGUCGAGCUAGAGUGUAGAAGAGGGGGGUAGAAUUCCACGUGUAGCAGUGAAAUGCGUAGAGAUGUGGAGGAAUACCGAUGGCGAAGGCAGCCCC